This 253-nucleotide ribosomal RNA is filed under the name uncultured bacterium. RNAcentral's name for it is "partial 16S ribosomal RNA". It matches the Rfam family "Bacterial small subunit ribosomal RNA", at positions 524 to 776 of the family's 1533-position model. The record is from RNAcentral.
UACGCAGGGCGCAAGCGUUAUCCGGAAUUAUUGGGCGUAAAGAGCUCGUAGGCGGUUCUCCAAGUCCGUUGUGAAAGCCCCGGGCUCAACCUGGGAAUGGCAGUGGAAACUAGGGGACUGGAAUCUGGCAGAGGGGGGUGGAAUGCCGCGUGUAGCAGUGAAAUGCGUAGAGAUGCGGCGGAACACCGAUGGCGAAGGCGGCUUGCCAGAAUGCGCUCGACGGUGAGGGAUGAAAGCUGGGGGAGCAAACCGG